This is a non-coding RNA of Hordeum vulgare subsp. vulgare (domesticated barley), 135 nucleotides long. The record is from Rfam. NCBI's taxonomy places the organism in Eukaryota, Viridiplantae, Streptophyta, Magnoliopsida, Poales, Poaceae.
GACAUACUCCCCCGUUCUAAAAUUCUUAUCUUAAGUUUGUCUAGAUAUGAAUAUAUCUAGUCACAUUUUAGUAUUUAAAUACAUUUAUUUCUAGACAAAUUUAAGACAAAAUUUUUAGGACGGAGGAAGUAUUUA